AUAAAAUUAUGAUACUUAAAUUAUGGUAGUGAAAGUUUUGGGGAAAAAGUAAAUAUUUGGAUAUAAAUAUUUACUUCAUAUGCAAAAUGGUAAAUUAAAAUUUAAAGAUGAAAUGACAUAUUUGCCCCUCUGGGAAUUUCACACACUCAAUCUACCUCGUGUAUUCCGUAAUUCCUUUUCAAAAAAUUUAGAAGUAACAUACAACUACAGUGCAGCGGACUACAUUUUUAGUUUUAUUCUUCCGCCGGAGCUAUGGAUUCCGGUGACUGGCGGACUCAAUUUCCGCCUCAUUCUCGUCAAACGGUUGUCAACAACAUGGAGGUCGAGUGUGAUUCUACUUUGUGGUAGGCUUAUUUUUUGUUAUUAUCUAUUGUUUAUUUCUACCUAUUGUUUCUUGUUCUUAUAUUAUGUUUUUCUCUAGAAUAUUUUGUCUUGAGUCGGGGGUCUUUCGGAAACAACCUCUUUACCUCACCUCUGAGGUAGUGGUAUGGACUGCGUACACUUUACCCUCCCCAGACCGCCACUUUGUGAGAGUAAUGAGUAUACUGGGUAUGUUGUUGUUGUUGAGAUGAAACACGUAUGCCCCAGUGCGGAGGUAUGAGAGGUUGACAAUGGAUGGUUUUAGGAGAGGUAGGGGUAGGCGAAGAAAUAUUGGUGUGAGGUGAUUAGACAGGAUAUGGAGAAGUUACAACUUAUCGAAGACAUGACCCUAGAUAGGAGAGUGUGGAGGAUGCGCAUUAGGUAGGAGUUUAAUAGGGAGGAGGGCGUCCUUGCUAGUAGGUAAGUGUGCUUUGUUUUUUGGUUUGUACUAGUAGUCGUAGUGCUACGCUUGUAGUGGAUUUUUUUUUUGGAGUUUGGUGAUGCUUUUGUGUUUUUCGAGUAGAUCAAUUGUAGUAUUACUUCGUGGUAGUCAGUUGUGACUUGUGUGGGUGGAGAGGAAAAAAUGCAACUUGAUUUCCCACUUUUAUUUGGGAAGUCAUUUUCAUUACUUUCAAGGAGCUUGUUUAGAAAUACUUUUCAAAAUGUUUGACCAAUGAAAUAGGCACAAGUAUACCCCAAAUUAUACCCGAAAUUGCUACGGCACACCCGAAAAGUACGGGGUCUUAUUACCCUUUAAACUCAUUUUUCUGUAUUUAUGUACUUCUUUUGUGUUGACAUAGCUGCCAAGUCAGCACAAAAGGGGUAUGGAAAUAUUCUGCUACUUGGCAGCCACGUCAGCAAAACAGGAGCACAAAAAUUUUAAAAAUAUGAGUUUAGCGAGGUAAUAGAAUCUCUGUAAAGUUUAGGUGUGUCAUAGCAACUUGGGGUAUAGUUUAGGGGGAUACUUGUGCAUUAUCUCUUUGACCAAUUGAACACGAGAAAAUAACAAAAUGUUUCCUGCAUACUGAAUACACCCCAAGUGGAAGAUCUACUUUGCUCUCUAAACCUUAUAUUUUGUUUUGGAUUUGUUGAAAUGGCAGCUUGUUGCUCGAGCUAAUUGGAUUAUAACUCUUGAUAUUGUAACAACAACAUAACUAGUAUAAUCCCAUGAGUGGGGUCUGGCGUGGGUACAGUGUACACAAACUUUACCCUUAACUACCCUCAACUCAAGGAAAAA
This is a long non-coding RNA of Capsicum annuum, 1597 nucleotides long. RefSeq lists it as uncharacterized. The record is from RefSeq and is a predicted model, not a curated record. Lineage: Eukaryota; Viridiplantae; Streptophyta; Magnoliopsida; Solanales; Solanaceae. The transcript has 2 exons.